Oryza sativa Japonica Group (Japanese rice) is the source of this 1480-nucleotide long non-coding RNA. RefSeq lists it as uncharacterized. Lineage: Eukaryota; Viridiplantae; Streptophyta; Magnoliopsida; Poales; Poaceae. The record is from RefSeq and is a predicted model, not a curated record.
AAACGGUUCGGAUUGCCUCACUCCGGCCCGACCCCACCCUUCCCUGCGCCUUGCGUUCCCCGUUCCCUGCAACCGCUAGCCGUUCACGCAAUCACGCCCUCAAUCCCUUCUCUCCUCCUCGCAUCUCUCACGCCGCCCCCUGACCCAGCGCCGUAAUCAUCGCCCGCCUUCCGCAUCGCAAGCGGCGGCCCCUCUACGCCGAUUCCCCACCGCCGCCAGGGGGGCGACUCCCUCACCGAACCGCGCUGCCGGGACACCGACGCCCAUCUCGUCCACUCGCCCGUUCCUCCGCGGCGCGCCGCCGGAUCAACGUCAGUCGCCUGCCUCCUGCCCGGUCUCCUCCGUGCCUCCACCACCUCCCGAAUCCCGGCCUGCCACCACCCUGUCCCGCGGCGGCCUUCGUCAUCGACAGUCUGUCACCGGCGCAUCUCCUUUCUUCCCCUCAUCACAGAGGGACAUCUCCAUUUAGAAAAGGUGGAUAUUAAAUGAAAGGUUUAUUCCAGAUCAAAAUUCUACCGACAUAUAUGCUCUCAACGCAUUACUAUAGAAGGGAUUGAGAUUCUGUUCAUGACCAUUGCUUUCAGUUUCAGGCAAGUAUAUCAUAUGAUCUGGAAUAUUUGAAUUAACACAUCACUCUUGGUUGUCCCAAGAGUCCAUACAACCUGGAGGUCAUCAACAAAAUUAAUAUGAUUUGGAAUUCUUUCACAUGCAUGUCAAUUUUUCUUAGUUGUUAAUUAAGCCUCAAGUGGGUCAAAACGACCAAAAAUCAACAUAUCAAUUCUCUACUGUUUUCUUCUGUACAUACUAGCACAGUGCUGCAUCACACUUUCUCAGGUAAAAUAUAAUAUGCCAGUAUCUCCCUUGCUUUCUAGGAUCCGUUGAUUUUAAAUAUCAGAUAUACUUUUUUCUGGUUGAUUUGCUAAGUGCUGGCAGUACUACAUGUCUAUCAGAGAGGGGUGCCUUGUCUAAUGUACCUCAAGUUGCAUUGAGAUUUGAGAGGGCCACAAAAACAUUCAAGGAUAGGAAGGUAGCUGUGCAGGGGAAAAAAAAGCAUUGAUCAAAUGGUUACCAGUAAGUACGCACAAUAUAUUACUACAGAGGGAAAGGGAGGCUAUAUUACCUCAGUCCCCUUGUCGUCUAUGAAUCCUGCUGGAUGUUAGAGUAAUCGUUGAGAAGCCAUUUGGAAUGGACUUGGACUCUGCAGAAGAUUAAUUCAGGGCCCACCUUGGGGUUAUUUGAGGAAAAUCAGGUCUACAGAUUUGGUCACAACUUAAGAAAAGAGUUGGUACACAACCUGGUAAAGGCUAUAAUUUUGCCAAUAAUUAACCACCUCCGACAUAAUAACAUUUCACAGGGAAGAAGUUGGUCUUCAUGAUUUUGUAUUGCUUAAACAUGUUUACACUUCCCAUUGUGAAUCGAUCUCCAUUGUUCGCCUUAGGUGUAUCUAGCAUUGCUCUUCUUAUUUCAGAAUCAUUCCAUA